ACCCAUUAUUCAUCAUUCAAUGAAAGCAUACAAAUUGGGUUUGUCAUCAUGCUUGCAACUACGAAUCUAUGAUGUCAUGAUGCCAGAUCGAUGUCAUGACGUCAUAGACCACAUUCUGAAGUCAAUGCACGGUAAGUUGAGACACAAAAUCAUGCAAUGCCACAUCAGAGCAUUCAAAUGGGCUAGCACAACUUCAACAUCAACCACGUCCAACGUUUGAAUUCACACAACACCUGUUGGAAGAUUGGACCUGUUCCUUUCACUGCUGUCCAUGUCCCACAGUAAUGCACGUGUCGGGAGUCAGAACGAGACAGACAGGCAGACAGGCGUUUCCCAGCCAUUCAAAUCAUGAAUCAGCAUCAUUUCAUAGAUAUAUACAAAUAACUAACAAUAGAAAACAGGUAAGAAGAAAUUAAGUGCAGCUAGUUUGCAGUCUUUCCAGCUUUGGUUGGAAGUGAUUGUGUUAGAUUUGUUGUUGGAUAGCUCCCCUUACCAAUAGUGUCCUGACAAAAGAGUACAUUUUGUACACCAGGCAAAAUCGUGCAUCCUUAGCUCAUUGUUAUGGAUGUAUCCAAAUAAACGUCACUAGCAAACAGCAUAAAGAAACGCAAAUGCAGCUACUGUUAUUUUGGCUGCACUGUUUGACCUGAUUGUAAGUUAGCCAUAGUUGGCUAGCUAGUGUGGGGGAAUUCUAACCAAAAGGAAAGAGACUAUUGUUCAAAACAACUUUAUUAUAAGAUUUGUAAAAAUGGAGCAAUCAACCAUUACCAAGAAUGGUUUAGAAUUGAAACAUUAACAAACAUUGUCGGGUCUCUGCUUUUGUAGAAAAAGUACAACCUCUUUUGUCUACGUGGCAGUUUAGCAGAUGUGUGGAAACAGGGGCAGAGCAUAGUAUAAAAGGCUAUUUGUAUCAAGGCACAAGGUGAGACCCAGAUGCAUACACAGGAGGCAGAUGGUUGGAGUCAUACGAUGUUUAAUUAU
Molecule: non-coding RNA, 981 nt
Organism: Salmo salar (Atlantic salmon)
Lineage: Eukaryota; Metazoa; Chordata; Actinopteri; Salmoniformes; Salmonidae
Source: RefSeq, a predicted model, not a curated record